GAGUCCAAAUAGAGAAUACAUCGCUUGAAGAGAGGUCAGGCAAACACCCAAUAAACACCUUCAAUCAUGUACUAAGGAGUUUUGUAUCAUUAGUACCACAAGUGAUUUAUUUUCUUCUACCCCUGAUUUUUCUCUGUUGUCACUACAUCAAGAUCCAGGUUGCGAUUAGGUUGAGCAAAAUGUUCAUGUAAGCAGCUCUGUGACAGGGGUCAUAUUACAGGAAAUAUGUUGGCAUUCUCAUGCUCAUGCCUCUUGAGUUUUUUUU
Molecule: long non-coding RNA, 265 nt
Filed under: Ricinus communis (castor bean)
Lineage: Eukaryota; Viridiplantae; Streptophyta; Magnoliopsida; Malpighiales; Euphorbiaceae
Description: long non-coding RNA (RCOM_LNC001498)
Source: RNAcentral